AAACGUCACACGAGUGUAUUACUUUCCGAAUGACACCCAAUCAAGAUCUCGGACUGAUACUAUUCCGUAAGUCGGAGAGGAAAAAGUGGUAAAGUAACAAAAACCUAGAAUUUGCAAAUAGUGGACGAAAACACAAACCCCACAAUAGAUAGAACUAAAGAAGGCAGGAAAACGGGACUAAAAACAAAAUGAAAGAACCUGGCAAACGAAGUUUAAUGCAAAGGUUCAAAAUGAAUAAAAUCUUUUCCCUAAAGGAUAAAUAAUAAAUAUUCAAAAGGAAGAUGUAGGAAAGUGCUAAAAGUACAACGAUUUAAAAAGUCCACGACGACCUUUUUUUGUUUGAGUGAGUAAUAAGAAAGAGAAAAUUAAAAAGGAAUAACGACGAGAAAACCGGAAAUCGCACCAAAGGAUACACUAGGAAAGAAAAGUGUGAUGAUGAUACGAGAAAUUAUGAUGAAGGAAUGAGGGAAUCACUGAAAAAAGAAAUUAAGCCAAAUCACAGUGUUGGAUCGUAAAAUAUGUUUUUGGAUUCAACUAAUGCGAAAACGCUCUCUAACCGAAAGAGUGUUAGUGUUUUCUUUUUUGGGGUAUUUUUCAAAGAGCUAAGAAAAAGGGAGCAAUCACAAGAAAGGAAAAUGCAAAAUUCCUCGCUUGGAUGGAUUAAGAUUUAAAUAAAAGUAAGGAAGAUGAUUAGGGAUUCCAAAAAACGGAAUUUUUUGUUUUGAAACAAUGAACAGAUCAAGGAAAGUUGUUUGAUUGCGAUGGUGGUGAAAAUGCCUGUGCACCAGCACCAC
Non-coding RNA from Schizosaccharomyces pombe (fission yeast), 794 nucleotides. Lineage: Eukaryota; Fungi; Ascomycota; Schizosaccharomycetes; Schizosaccharomycetales; Schizosaccharomycetaceae. The record is from the annotation of a GenBank genome assembly.